This 366-nucleotide ribosomal RNA is filed under the name uncultured bacterium. RNAcentral's name for it is "partial 16S ribosomal RNA". It matches the Rfam family "Bacterial small subunit ribosomal RNA", at positions 338 to 701 of the family's 1533-position model. The record is from RNAcentral.
CCUACGGGCGGCAGCAGUGAGGAAUAUUGGUCAAGGGGCGCGAGCCUGAACCAGCCAAGUAGCGUGAAGGAUGACUGCCCUACGGGUUGUAAACUUCUUUUAUAAAGGAAUAAAGUGAGGCACGUGUGCCUUUUUGUAUGUACUUUAUGAAUAAGGAUCGGCUAACGCCGUGCCAGCAGCCGCGGUAAUACGGAGGAUCCGAGCGUUAUCCGGAUUUAUUGUGUUUAAAGGGAGCGUAGAUGGGUUGUUAAGUCAGUUGUGAUAGUUUGCGGCUCAACCGUAAAAUUGCAAUUGAUACUGGCAGUCUUGAGUACAGUUGAGGUCGUCGGAAUUCGUGUUGUCGCGGUGAAAUGCUUAGAUAUCACG